AUUGAACGCUGGCGGCAGGCUUAACACAUGCAAGUCGAGCGGUAGCACAGGGGAGCUUGCUCCCUGGGUGACGAGCGGCGGACGGGUGAGUAAUGUCUGGGAAACUGCCUGAUGGAGGGGGAUAACUACUGGAAACGGUAGCUAAUACCGCAUAACGUCGCAAGACCAAAGAGGGGGACCUUCGGGCCUCUUGCCAUCAGAUGUGCCCAGAUGGGAUUAGCUAGUAGGUGGGGUAAUGGCUCACCUAGGCGACGAUCCCUAGCUGGUCUGAGAGGAUGACCAGCCACACUGGAACUGAGACACAGUCCAGACUCCUACGGGAGGCAGCAGUGGGGAAUAUUGCACAAUGGGCGCAAGCCUGAUGCAGCCAUGCCGCGUGUGUGAAGAAGGCCUUCGGGUUGUAAAGCACUUUCAGCGAGGAGGAAGGUGGUGAGCUUAAUACGUUCAUCAAUUGACGUUACUCGCAGAAGAAGCACCGGCUAACUCCGUG
Molecule: ribosomal RNA, 490 nt
Filed under: uncultured bacterium
Lineage: Bacteria
Description: partial 16S ribosomal RNA
Rfam family: Bacterial small subunit ribosomal RNA
Source: RNAcentral